Molecule: transfer RNA, 76 nt
Filed under: Morganella morganii
Lineage: Bacteria; Pseudomonadati; Pseudomonadota; Gammaproteobacteria; Enterobacterales; Morganellaceae
Description: tRNA-Val
Rfam family: tRNA
About the family: Transfer RNA (tRNA) molecules are approximately 80 nucleotides in length. Their secondary structure includes four short double-helical elements and three loops (D, anti-codon, and T loops).
Source: RNAcentral
GGGCGAUUAGCUCAGUUGGUAGAGCAUCUCCCUUACAAGGAGGGGGUCACUGGUUCGAGCUCGGUAUCGCCCACCA